UACGUAGGGUGCAGGCGUUAAUCGGAAUUACUGGGCGUAAAGCGUGCGCAGGCGGUCUUUUAAGUCAGAUGUGAAAUCCCCGGGCUUAACCUGGGAACCGCAUUUGUGACUGCAUAGCUGGAGUACGGCAGAGGGGGAUGGAAUUCCGCGUGUAGCAGUGAAAUGCGUAGAUAUGCGGAGGAACACCGAUGGCGAAGGCAGUCCCCUGGGCCUGUACUGACGCUCAUGCACGAAAGCGUGGGGAGCAAACAGG
Molecule: ribosomal RNA, 253 nt
Filed under: uncultured bacterium
Lineage: Bacteria
Description: partial 16S ribosomal RNA
Rfam family: Bacterial small subunit ribosomal RNA
Source: RNAcentral